Non-coding RNA from Nomascus leucogenys (northern white-cheeked gibbon), 113 nucleotides. It matches the Rfam family "Mitochondrial DNA control region secondary structure A". The record is from Rfam. NCBI's taxonomy places the organism in Eukaryota, Metazoa, Chordata, Mammalia, Primates, Hylobatidae.
UAUUCUUUUCGGCACACAUUUUAACUAAUAUGUCAGUAUUGACUGCCAACACUAAUAUAUUAGUACUCCUAUGUACUUUGUGCAUUACUGUUAAUCCCCAUGAAUAAUAUAUG